ACGCUUGGCAACCUCUUUGGACAAGAAGGCCCGCGAUGCUGUCAGGGCAUCGUGGUACUGGUCCGGGAACAUCGCCUCCGGAGCCAGACGAAAUGACGACAGCAUCCAACUCUUCCGCCAUCUUCCGGCACAAGAAGUCGUAUGAUCGCAUCCCUGUGAUGGGGGAUGGGUCAUGUGAUGUCAAUCAAAUCAGGGGGCAGUUGUGAAUUCCUUGCGGACCCUGACCGCUGAUCACUGGUCAUUUGCAACGUUCAUUUUUGCUUGUCCACCCCCCCCCCCAGGAGAAACAGCGCCCUCUGCCGCACGGCCAUGGUAAUACCAUGGCCCGAAGACAACCGUGCCCAGCCGGUUUCUGCCCAGCGCCCACCCUCCUCCGUGGAAGUAGAGGACCCCUCUUUUGGGCCACCGUCCCCCCGUAGCCUGAAAGAUGCGAGAGGGCACGCCC
Molecule: long non-coding RNA, 445 nt
Organism: Hippocampus comes (tiger tail seahorse)
Lineage: Eukaryota; Metazoa; Chordata; Actinopteri; Syngnathiformes; Syngnathidae
Exons: 3
Source: RefSeq, a predicted model, not a curated record